RNAcentral lists this ribosomal RNA (609 nucleotides) under Triticum aestivum (bread wheat). Its description in RNAcentral is "partial small subunit ribosomal RNA". Lineage: Eukaryota; Viridiplantae; Streptophyta; Magnoliopsida; Poales; Poaceae. The record is from RNAcentral.
GCGGCUUCUGGGCCGCCUUCCCGGCGCAGCUGCACCCGUUCGGGGUCACCUACUUCGGCCGGCCCGCCGGACGUGCCUCCGACGGCCGCCUCGUCAUCGACUUCAUAGGGCAUACAAGUUGUUAUAAAGCCAGAAUAUCGGAUAACCCCUCCUCCUCAGUUGGCACCACAGAUGGUAGAAGUUCCCCGCAGCACCUUUAACUUUGAUUUUGAGUAUGAAAGAAAGAUUCUUGCGGAGGCAGAGAAGGAAAUCCCCAACUGGGGGAAGUUUGUAAUCGAAAGGCAGACGCCACCACCACCGUCGCCACAACAACAACAACCAUAGCCGCCAAGAGGGCCAAGACACUCAACAUCCACUACUUCUAUGCUUUUUCAGGCUACCCCAGGAGAUCCACUUGUGGAGAAGUAUAUGUCUAUGGGGCUUGGACGUGAAGCUGUUUCAUUUCCUGUGCUAAAUUAUGGAGAUAACCCAACAAAGGUGAAGGAGUUUGUGAAAGCCUACAACGCCCUCCACGAGAUGGGGUUCACCUCCCGGAACGUCCCCGAGCUGCUGGCGAUGCACGACAACGACCCCGACAAAGUUAUCCAGCACCUGCUCAGCACGACAUAA